GUCCACGCCGUAAACGAUGUCAACUAGCCGUUGGGUUCCUUGAGAACUUAGUGGCGCAGCUAACGCAUUAAGUUGACCGCCUGGGGGAGUACGGCCGCAAGGUUAAAACUCAAAUGAAUUGACGGGGGCCCGCACAAGCGGUGGAUCAUGUGGUUUUAAUUCGAAGCAACGCGAAGAACCUUACCUGGCAUUGACAUGCUGAGAACUUUCCAGAGAUGGGAUUGGUGCCUUCGGGAACUCAUACACAGGUGCUGCAUGGCUGUCGU
This 266-nucleotide ribosomal RNA is filed under the name uncultured bacterium. RNAcentral's name for it is "partial 16S ribosomal RNA". It matches the Rfam family "Bacterial small subunit ribosomal RNA", at positions 793 to 1055 of the family's 1533-position model. The record is from RNAcentral.